RNAcentral lists this ribosomal RNA (255 nucleotides) under uncultured bacterium. Its description in RNAcentral is "partial 16S ribosomal RNA". It matches the Rfam family "Bacterial small subunit ribosomal RNA", at positions 524 to 776 of the family's 1533-position model. The record is from RNAcentral.
UACGUAGGUGGCAAGCGUUGUCCGGAAUUACUGGGCGUAAAGCGUGCGCAGGCGGCUUCUCAAGUCAGGGGUGAAAGCCCAGAGCUCAACUCUGGAAUUGCCUUUGAGACUGAGUGGCUUGAGUACGAGAGAGGUGAGUGGAAUUCCCAGUGUAGAGGUGAAAUUCGUAGAUAUUGGGAAGAAACACCGGUGGCGAAGGCGGCUCACUGGCUCGUAACUGACGCUCAUGCACGACAGCCGUGGGGAUCAAACAGG